This 1367-nucleotide ribosomal RNA is filed under the name Corynebacterium matruchotii. Its description in RNAcentral is "16S ribosomal RNA". It matches the Rfam family "Bacterial small subunit ribosomal RNA", at positions 73 to 1445 of the family's 1533-position model. The record is from RNAcentral. RNAcentral also lists the same sequence under 1 other name. Lineage: Bacteria; Bacillati; Actinomycetota; Actinomycetes; Mycobacteriales; Corynebacteriaceae.
CCACUUUUUUGGUGGGGGUGCUCGAGUGGCGAACGGGUGAGUAACACGUGGGUGAUCUGCCUUGCACUUCGGGAUAAGCUUGGGAAACUGGGUCUAAUACCGGAUAGGACCAUGGUUUAGUGUCUCAUGGUGGAAAGAUUAUUGUUUUGGUGCAGGAUGAGCUCGCGGCCUAUCAGCUUGUUGGUGGGGUAAUGGCCUACCAAGGCGUCGACGGGUAGCCGGCCUGAGAGGGUGGACGGCCACAUUGGGACUGAGAUACGGCCCAGACUCCUACGGGAGGCAGCAGUGGGGAAUAUUGCACAAUGGGCGCAAGCCUGAUGCAGCGACGCCGCGUGGGGGAUGACGGCCUUCGGGUUGUAAACUCCUUUCGUUAGGGACGAAGCNNNNNNNNNNNNNNNNNNNNNUAAGAAGCACCGGCUAACUACGUGCCAGCAGCCGCGGUAAUACGUAGGGUGCGAGCGUUGUCCGGAAUUACUGGGCGUAAAGAGCUCGUAGGUGGUUUGUUGCGUCGUCUGUGAAAUUCCGGGGCUUAACUUCGGGGUGGCAGGCGAUACGGGCAUAACUAGAGUGCUGUAGGGGAGACUGGAAUUCCUGGUGUAGCGGUGAAAUGCGCAGAUAUCAGGAGGAACACCNAUGGCGAAGGCAGGUCUCUGGGCAGUAACUGACGCUGAGGAGCGAAAGCAUGGGGAGCGAACAGGAUUAGAUACCCUGGUAGUCCAUGCUGUAAACGGUGGGCGUUAGGUGUGGGGACCGGUUUGGUUUCUGUGCCGUAGCUAACGCAUUAAGCGCCCCGCCUGGGGAGUACGGCCGCAAGGCUAAAACUCAAAGGAAUUGACGGGGGCCCGCACAAGCGGCGGAGCAUGUGGAUUAAUUCGAUGCAACGCGAAGAACCUUACCUGGGUUUGACAUGCACCAGACGGUUGUAGAGAUACGUACCUCCCUUUGUGGUUGGUGUGCAGGUGGUGCAUGGUUGUCGUCAGCUCGUGUCGUGAGAUGUUGGGUUAAGUCCCGCAACGAGCGCAACCCUUGUCUUAUGUUGCCAGCACUUUGGGUGGGGACUCAUGAGAGACUGCCGGGGUUAACUCGGAGGAAGGUGGGGAUGACGUCAAAUCAUCAUGCCCUUUAUGCCCAGGGCUUCACACAUGCUACAUGGUUAGUACAACGCGCUGGAACCUGUGAGGGUGAGCGAAUCGCUGAAAGCUAAUCUCAGUUCGGAUUGGGGUCUGCAACUCGACCCCAUGAAGUCGGAGUCGCUAGUAAUCGCAGAUCAGCAAUGCUGCGGUGAAUACGUUCCCGGGCCUUGUACACACCGCCCGUCACGUCAUGAAAGUUGGUAACACCCGAAGCCCAUGGCCUAACCACCAUUU